This 253-nucleotide ribosomal RNA is filed under the name uncultured microorganism. RNAcentral's name for it is "partial 16S ribosomal RNA". It matches the Rfam family "Bacterial small subunit ribosomal RNA", at positions 524 to 776 of the family's 1533-position model. The record is from RNAcentral.
UACGUAGGGUGCGAGCGUUAAUCGGAUUUACUGGGCGUAAAGCGUGCGCAGGCGGCCCGUUAAGACAGGUGUGAAAUCCCUGGGCUCAACCUAGGAAUUGCGCUUGUGACUGGCGGGCUCGAGUACGGUAGAGGGGGGUGGAAUUCCUGGUGUAGCAGUGACAUGCGUAGAGAUCAGGAGGAACACCGAUGGCGAAGGCAGCCCCCUGGGCCUGUACUGACGCUCAUGCACGAAAGCGUGGGGAGCAAACAGG